This 1425-nucleotide long non-coding RNA is filed under the name Sarcophilus harrisii (Tasmanian devil). RNAcentral's name for it is "lncRNA (ENSSHAG00000031353.1)". The record is from RNAcentral. Lineage: Eukaryota; Metazoa; Chordata; Mammalia; Dasyuromorphia; Dasyuridae.
AUGCAUCCUAGAGCCCGUGGGAUGGAAGGGAAGGGGGCUUGCCUCUUUGCCCCUUCUGGGGGGCUCCCCUUUCCCUUCUCACCUGCCCUCAUCCACGCCAGGAAAAAGGGGGGCACACCGCCAGCUAAGGAGACAUCUGAUUGCCCCGUGAGAAGCAAGAGGUGCCUUGUUCCCUGCCAAAAGCUGAAGAAGGGCAGAAAAGGAAGUGUGUUUGUCACCAGUGUCCACCCCUCUCUACCAGGAUUUGUCUUCCCCAGCUACCCACAACAACUUAAUAUCAUGUGGUUUAGAGUUGGCUAGGAAGCCAUUUGGGGUGAGCCCCUCAUUUUGGUGGCAAGGAGCCUGAAUCCCCAGGAAGGGAAAUGUUGAAGUCAAGGUCACUAGUCUUCUGACUCCAAAUCCAUUUUCCCUCCACAAUGCCAUGCUAUUCAUUCAUUCUUCAGCAUUUGUUAUGCAUCUACUGUGUACAUGAGGGGAUUCAAGGGAAGGCGAUUGGAGGUGCUGACCCUCAGAUUGCUUCUUGCUUGAGGAUGAUAUGAAUCUUCAGAAGACCUAGGGCUGCUCAAAAGAAACUGGACUAACGAUCCACAUGGGGAAGCUAAAUGGAUGAUAAUGUCCAUUGCCCAGGUGAUGCCAUACAGCUGACUGACUGGCCCGGCAAUUAAACAUAAUGGUGGCUCAGCAGGCAAACAGAUGAGCCAAGUCUGGGAUUGAAGGGAGUGAGCUGGAUCCCAUUUGGGAAAUGAACUGUUUUUUCAAGGAUCAUUCAGAAAUUCUCCUUUAUGAUACUUAUAUUCUUUUAGUGAUGUGGAAAGGCCGUGCCCUUUAGAACAUCAAAUAUCAGUGGAGAAGCCCACGGCGAACACCAGGAAAAAACAAGUCCCCAGGCAGUGCAUGAGAAGGGCUGAGAAUACAUCGUUAGUGAGGAAUGAGCCCAGAACUAGAUGAGCUAGUUGUUCAACAAGCGUGAGGAGCCACAGAUGGGCUACCUGAGCAUCUCCAUGCCUGGGGAAGGCCUCCAGAGUGUUGGGUUUAUGAGGAAGCAGGGACAAGGACUGCUCAAAAUGAGAAGGUAGGGAUCUACACCUCGGCAGAGAGUGAUCUCACCCUCCACCGGGUGUCAGGGCUUCCCACCUCCUGAAAUUAACACCUAAGUUCGAUCACAGCCUGGGAAGACUCCCCCCGCCCAAAAAAAAAAAAAAAAAAAAAAGUUUUGCUCUCUUUGGAUGCCUACAGAUCUAGUAUUCAGAGAAGAUGCUUCAUUGAACUCGUGUGGGCAAAUCCUUCCCUUCCUCCAAGACGCAGUUCCAGUUGAUGAAUCAGCCCACAAGUAAGUACGUAUUAAGCCUGUACUGUGUGACUUGCACUGCUUUCUCAAGUUUUCCAGCUAACAAGGCCAUUUUUUCCAGGGCCUUUGAUCUCUUU